This 1343-nucleotide ribosomal RNA is filed under the name uncultured bacterium. RNAcentral describes it as "16S ribosomal RNA". It matches the Rfam family "Bacterial small subunit ribosomal RNA", at positions 28 to 1378 of the family's 1533-position model. The record is from RNAcentral.
GACGAACGCUGGCGGCGUGCUUAACACAUGCAAGUCGAACGGAAAGGCCCUGCUUUUGUGGGGUGCUCGAGUGGCGAACGGGUGAGUAACACGUGAGUAACCUGCCCUUGACUUUGGGAUAACUUCAGGAAACUGGGGCUAAUACCGGAUAGGAGCUCCUGCUGCAUGGUGGGGGUUGGAAAGUUUCGGCGGUUGGGGAUGGACUCGCGGCUUAUCGGCUUGUUGGUGGGGUAGUGGCUUACCAAGGCUUUGACGGGUAGCCGGCCUGAGAGGGUGACCGGCCACAUUGGGACUGAGAUACGGCCCAGACUCCUACGGGAGGCAGCAGUGGGGAAUAUUGCACAAUGGGCGGAAGCCUGAUGCAGCAACGCCGCGUGCGGGAUGACGGCCUUCGGGUUGUAAACCGCUUUCGCCUGUGACGAAGCGUGAGUGACGGUAAUGGGUAAAGAAGCACCGGCUAACUACGUGCCAGCAGCCGCGGUGAUACGUAGGGUGCGAGCGUUGUCCGGAUUUAUUGGGCGUAAAGGGCUCGUAGGUGGUUGAUCGCGUCGGAAGUGUAAUCUUGGGGCUUAACCCUGAGCGUGCUUUCGAUACGGGUUGACUUGAAGAGGGUAGGGGAGAAUGGAAUUCCUGGUGGAGCGGUGGAAUGCGCAGAUAUCAGGAGGAACACCAGUGGCGAAGGCGGUUCUCUGGGCCUUUCCUGACGCUGAGGAGCGAAAGCGUGGGGAGCGAACAGGCUUAGAUACCCUGGUAGUCCACGCUGUAAACGGUGGGUACUAGGUGUGGGGUCCAUUCCACGGGUUCCGUGCCGUAGCUAACGCUUUAAGUACCCCGCCUGGGGAGUACGGCCGCAAGGCUAAAACUCAAAGGAAUUGACGGGGCCCCGCACAAGCGGCGGAGCAUGCGGAUUAAUUCGAUGCAACGCGUAGAACCUUACCUGGGUUUGACAUGGAUCGGGAGCGCUCAGAGAUGGGUGUGCCUCUUUUGGGGUCGGUUCACAGGUGGUGCAUGGCUGUCGUCAGCUCGUGUCGUGAGAUGUUGGGUUAAGUCCCGCAACGAGCGCAACCCUUGUUCACUGUUGCCAGCACGUUAUGGUGGGGACUCAGUGGAGACCGCCAGGGUCAACUCGGAGGAAGGUGGGGAUGACGUCAAGUCAUCAUGCCCCUUAUGUCCAGGGCUUCACGCAUGCUACAAUGGCUGGUACAGAGAGUGGCGAGCCUGUGAGGGUGAGCGAAUCUCGGAAAGCCGGUCUCAGUUCGGAUUGGGGUCUGCAACUCGACCUCAUGAAGUCGGAGUCGCUAGUAAUCGCAGAUCAGCAACGCUGCGGUGAAUACGUUCCCGGG